AACGCGAAGAACCUUACCAGGUCUUGACAUCCCUCUGAAUACAGUCAGAGAUAGCGUAGGCCUUCGGGACAGAGGAGACAGGUGGUGCAUGGUUGUCGUCAGCUCGUGUCGUGAGAUGUUGGGUUAAGUCCCGCAACGAGCGCAACCCCUAAACUUAGUUGCCAGCAGGUAAGGCUGGGCACUCUAGGUUGACUGCCGGUGACAAACCGGAGGAAGGCGGGGAUGACGUCAAAUCAUCAUGCCCCUUAUGACCUGGGCUACACACGUACUACAAUGGCCGGUACAACGGGCUGCGAAACCGCGAGGUGGAGCCAAUCCUAUCAAAGCCGGUCUCAGUUCGGAUUGCAGGCUGCAACUCGCCUGCAAGAAGUCGGAAUUGCUAGUAAUCGCGGAUCAGCAUGCCGUCGGUGAAUACGUUCCGGGGGUCUGUACACACCG
Molecule: ribosomal RNA, 438 nt
Filed under: uncultured bacterium
Lineage: Bacteria
Description: bacterial SSU rRNA
Rfam family: Bacterial small subunit ribosomal RNA
Source: RNAcentral